This 326-nucleotide ribosomal RNA is filed under the name uncultured euryarchaeote. Its description in RNAcentral is "bacterial SSU rRNA". It matches the Rfam family "Archaeal small subunit ribosomal RNA", at positions 319 to 648 of the family's 1478-position model. The record is from RNAcentral. Lineage: Archaea; Methanobacteriati; Methanobacteriota.
UCCCUACGGGGGGCAGCAGGCGCGAAAACUUUACAAUGCAGGAAACUGUGAUAAGGGAACCCCGAGUGCCCGUAUACNNGCGGGCUGUCCAGGUGUUUAAAACGCAUCUGAAGAAAGGGCCGGGCAAGACCGGUGCCAGCCGCCGCGGUAAUACCGGCGGCUCGAGUGGUGGCCACUAUUAUUGGGCUUAAAGCGUCCGUAGCUGGACUCUUAAGUCUCUUGGGAAAUCCGCCGGCUUAACCGACGGGCGUCUAAGAGAUACUGGGAGUCUAGGGACCGGGAGAGGUGAGAGGUACUCCGGGGGUAGGAGUGAAAUCCUGUAAUCC